UACGGGGGGGGUAAGCGUUGUUCGGAAUUACUGGGCGUAAAGGGCUCGUAGGCGGCCAACUAAGUCAGACGUGAAAUCCCCAGGCUUAACCUGGGAACUGCGUCUGAUACUGGAUGGCUUGAAUUCGGGAGAGGGAUGCAGAAUUCCAGGUGUAGCGGUGAAAUGCGUAGAUAUCUGGAGGAAUACCGGUGGCGAAGGCGGCAUCCUGGACCGACAUUGACGCUGAGGCGCGAAAGCCAGGGGAGCAAACGGG
Molecule: ribosomal RNA, 253 nt
Filed under: uncultured bacterium
Lineage: Bacteria
Description: partial 16S ribosomal RNA
Rfam family: Bacterial small subunit ribosomal RNA
Source: RNAcentral